CAAACUAGAGCUUGAUUUUAAGCAUUUUACUUACACUAAAAAGAUAAUUUUUAAUUUGGUUUGA
RNAcentral lists this transfer RNA (64 nucleotides) under Colasposoma sp. EMHAU-15070314. RNAcentral's name for it is "tRNA-Val". The record is from RNAcentral. Lineage: Eukaryota; Metazoa; Arthropoda; Insecta; Coleoptera; Chrysomelidae.